Helianthus annuus (common sunflower) is the source of this 2768-nucleotide long non-coding RNA. RefSeq lists it as uncharacterized. The record is from RefSeq and is a predicted model, not a curated record. NCBI's taxonomy places the organism in Eukaryota, Viridiplantae, Streptophyta, Magnoliopsida, Asterales, Asteraceae. The transcript is spliced from 3 exons.
AAUUAGAAUUAGGGUUUACUUGCCGCGCUUCCCCUUUCCUGCUGUUUAUUCUCAAACCCUAACACAAAGGUGUCUGAUGUCUCCACUCUCCAGCCACCAGCCCACCACACGCCGUCGGCGGAGCCACUCCAGCAUCCACGACUCAGUCACGCAGCCCUUCGCCUUCCCUUAGUCACUCUCUUCCGCCCUUAAGGUUCGUUUAAACCCUAUUGUUGAUCUCAAAGGUAAUCUCAAUGGUAGUAUAGUAAGCUUCUUUCUUUUUUUACUUCAUGUUAGUUAAACUAUGAUGGAGUUCAGAUUAUAAAAAUUUAUAAAUCUAAAACAGAAAAGAACUGCUGCAAUUUGAUUUGAGGUUCAAAAUGGGUAAAAAUUUUAACGCCCAGAAAGAAACAAGAACAAGCUUUAUUAACACCGGCAAACAAUUUGAUUGGAUUGUUUCCCAUUAUUGGAGUGCCAUCCCCUUUAAAGCUGGUUCUUUUUUAACUCUUCAUAAACUCAAUGUUCUAUACAUUCCACAAUAUUAAAAGAAUAAAAGAAGCUAUCAAAUUGAUAACUAAGACUUAAACCAUAAUUGGUGUUGUAGUCACAUUGUUAAGGGAUUGGGUCUGGUUGGGUUGAGUGGCAGGUUAGAUUGGGUUCAGGUUAGAGCGGGUCAAAUUAAAAAUGGAUUUAAUAUGGUUUGGCUCAGAACGGCUCAUCAGCAAAAUAGGUUCCGGUUAGAAUUGGUUCUCAGCAAAAUAGGUAUUUUGCCGGAGAUGGAACAAUUAUGGUCAGGUACACAUUCUGCACUUGAGGGUUUUUUACUGUCACUAGAUAUUAUGAUUCGAAGACUUUUUUUAUUAAGUUUGUACAUGAUACAAUGUGAGAAGAUAGUGGACAAUUUAAAUCUUUAAUUCAGUUCUGAAGGUACUUUGACAUAAUGUAAUAUGCUUUUAUUUUUUUUACCUGUAUCAUACAACCCAUUGAAUUGACUAUAAAAUUUAGGUAUAUACGUUUUCGACCCCCCCGGGGGGGGGGGGGGGCUACCCCCCAAACUUUUCGCUUAGUAGUGUUAUGUAUGUACGUUUCGUAUAGAAAUUUUUAGGUAUGUACGUUUUCGACCCCCCUAGGUAUAUACUUUUAGGUCCGGUGACUUCCGACCCCCCGGUUGAAAUUUUCAAGUUUCGCCACUGCUCAAUCUAGUUCAUUUAAUUGUUGCUGUAAAAUAGAUUCAUGAGAAAAAAACAAUAUUUUUGAAAUUAUAAUCGGAGUCUUUUGAAUAUGAAUGAUUUGGGAGGUUAUACGUUAAAAAUAUAGAGUUCGAGCAACUUUUCACUCAUUUGACACAUUCCACCCAUUUAUUUUUAGCAUGUUUUUAGAAUGACCCGUCUAAGAUUGAGACGCAAGCCAAAAUUGUCUAUUCAUAAACUUGGUUUUAAAAAGCGCGCCUUAGGCGCGCCUAGGCACGAGGCUCAUCAAGGCUCAGGGUCCCUCGCUUUUUUGCUUAGCGCCUAGAGGAAACCCAAGAAGCGGUGCGCUUUAGCGCUUUUUUUUGUAAGGCGACGAGGCACUGAAGUGUGCGCUUUAAGGACCUUAUAUGAAAAUUACACAUUCUAUGUAGAAACAACCAUACUUAUGAAGAUGAAACACCUGCUAUUCAUAAAAAUGGAGAUGAAAUAUUCCAGAAUUAACGAUUUUAAGUGCUUUUGAGAGAAUGGGAUGUAAGAGUGAUAGCUAGACAUCAAAUAGAGAGUGACGAGUUUCAGGGUUUACAUCCCUUUUACUUUUUAUCUUUUGUUUUCACAAAAUUACAGUUUUCAUCCUUGAUGUUAUACUAUUUUAAAAUUCUAACCCAAAACUUUUUCUAACUUAGUUUUUUUCCUUUUCUUUGCUUUUUAUGGAGUUUUAUUGAUUGUACAUAUAACUUCUUAGUUGUACUUUGAGUGUAUAGUAUAGAUUUUGUGCUUCUUAGGUUGUACAUAUGGGUUAUUUAAAUAUUAAAACAUAUAUAGAGGUUACUUGUGUCACAAUUUUAGGUAAAUGAUACUAGAAACCUUUGGGAUAUAUAUAAAAAAUAUAUAUAUAAUUAGCUUGUGCCUAGGGUACGAAAAGCCUGUCGCUUUUGCGCUUCGCGCUUUGCGCCUCGGUUUUAGACCUCGUCGCUUUUGUGUGCCUCUCGCUUUUUAAAACCAAGUUCAUAAAAAAAUGGAUAAAAAAUUACUACCUCUAGUUCCACUAAAUUUGUGCGCCCUCUACAGCUCAUUUAGUUAAACUUAUUUAAUUUGUUAUUUAUGAGUCUUAUUUGCAGCUCACAAAAGAAGCUAGCAAAAAAUGGAUGCUAGGACAUAUAGCAUAUAUAAGGGAAAAAUCUGACAGUCAACUUUUUAAUUAUACGGUCUAUUUAGCAAUACAAACUCGUUACCUAUAGAAAGUUGAUGAACUGUGUGAAAGAUACUCGAAACAGGAAUAUUAGCACCAACAAACUUCCAUUGUCAGGGAGCUAGGGAGCUGUUGGUUUAGCAAGAUGGAUGUCAUAUGUUGCAAACCAGUGUAAGGAGGGUGAAUGACCAAAUGGUGAAUAGGAUAUGAAACUUUGCAUAAUGGGAGUUGGUGAUAACCAUCAACCAUGACACAAUUGAUGAGGAUAUUAUUUAUGAGCAUAAUGAAGUUUCGAGUUUUUAUUUAAAUAUUUGUUAGGUUUUUGUUUUAUAUGUUAGAUAUUUAGACUUAAUGUGACACUUGUUAGACAUUUGGAAGAUAAUAGAAGUUAUGAUAUUAUGCUUUCUAUA